ACGAACGCUGGCGGCGUGCUUAACACAUGCCCGUCGAACGGAAAGACCCUGCUUUUGUGGGGUGCUCGAGUGGCGAACGGGUGAGUAACACGUGAGUAACCUGCCCUUGACUUUGGGAUAACUUCAGGAAACUGGGGCUAAUACCGGAUAGGAGCUCCUGCUGCAUGGUGGGGGUUGGAAAGUUUCGGCGGUUGGGGAUGGACUCGCGGCUUAUCAGCUUGUUGGUGGGGUAGUGGCUUACCAAGGCUUUGACGGGUAGCCGGCCUGAGAGGGUGACCGGCCACAUUGGGACUGAGAUACGGCCCAGACUCCUACGGGAGGCAGCAGUGGGGAAUAUUGCACAAUGGGCGGAAGCCUGAUGCAGCAACGCCGCGUGCGGGAUGACGGCCUUCGGGUUGUAAACCGCUUUCGCCUGUGACGAAGCGUGAGUGACGGUAAUGGGUAAAGAAGCACCGGCUAACUACGUG
RNAcentral lists this ribosomal RNA (467 nucleotides) under uncultured bacterium. Its description in RNAcentral is "partial 16S ribosomal RNA". It matches the Rfam family "Bacterial small subunit ribosomal RNA", at positions 29 to 507 of the family's 1533-position model. The record is from RNAcentral.